AUUGAACGCUGGCGGCAUGCUUUACACAUGCAAGUCGAACGGCAGCGCGGGCUUCGGCCUGGCGGCGAGUGGCGAACGGGUGAGUAAUGCAUCGGAACGUGCCCAGUAGUGGGGGAUAGCCCGGCGAAAGCCGGAUUAAUACCGCAUACGACCUGAGGGUGAAAGCGGGGGACCGAAAGGCCUCGCGCUAUUGGAGCGGCCGAUGUCGGAUUAGCUAGUUGGUGGGGUAAAGGCUUACCAAGGCGACGAUCCGUAGCUGGUCUGAGAGGACGACCAGCCACACUGGGACUGAGACACGGCCCAGACUCCUACGGGAGGCAGCAGUGGGGAAUUUUGGACAAUGGGGGCAACCCUGAUCCAGCCAUGCCGCGUGCGGGAAGAAGGCCUUCGGGUUGUAAACCGCUUUUGUUCGGGAAGAAACCCUCUGGGCUAAUACCCCGGGGGGAUGACGGUACCGGAAGAAUAAGCACCGGCUAACUACGUG
Molecule: ribosomal RNA, 484 nt
Filed under: uncultured bacterium
Lineage: Bacteria
Description: partial 16S ribosomal RNA
Rfam family: Bacterial small subunit ribosomal RNA
Source: RNAcentral